CAGUUAAAAGUAACUUUACACUAAAUUUAGAAUUUAGAGAUGCUUUUUAGCUUAACUGA
Molecule: transfer RNA, 59 nt
Filed under: Lebertia trifurcilla
Lineage: Eukaryota; Metazoa; Arthropoda; Arachnida; Trombidiformes; Lebertiidae
Description: tRNA-Leu
Source: RNAcentral